CUACGGGAGGCAGCAGUGGGGAAUAUUGCACAAUGGGCGCAAGCCUGAUGCAGCAACGCCGCGUGCGGGAUGACGGCCUUCGGGUUGUAAACCGCUUUUAGUAGGGAAGAAGCCUUCGGGUGACGGUACCUGCAGAAAAAGGACCGGCUAACUACGUGCCAGCAGCCGCGGUAAUACGUAGGGUCCGAGCGUUGUCCGGAAUUAUUGGGCGUAAAGAGCUCGUAGGCGGUUUGUCGCGUCUGCUGUGAAAACUAGAGGCUCAACCUCUAGCCUGCAGUGGGUACGGGCAGACUUGAGUGGUGUAGGGGAGACUGGAAUUCCUGGUGUAGCGGUGGAAUGCUGCAGAUAUCAGGAGGAACACCGAUGGCGAAGGCAGGUCUCUGGGCACUUACUGACGCUGAGGAGCGAAAAGCGUGGGGAGCGAACAGGAUUAGAUACCCUGGUAGUCCACGCCGUAAACGUUGGGCGCUAGAUGUGGGACCUUUCCACGGUUUCCGUGUCGUAGCUAACGCAUUAAGCGCCCCGCCUGGGGAGUACGGCCGCAAGGCUAAAACUCAAAGGAAUUGACGGGGGCCCGCACAAGCGGCGGAGCAUGCGGAUUAAUUCGAUGCAACGCGAAGAACCUUACCAAGGCUUGACAUACACGAGAACGGGCCAGAAAUGGUCAACUCUUUGGACAC
RNAcentral lists this ribosomal RNA (680 nucleotides) under uncultured Agromyces sp. Its description in RNAcentral is "bacterial SSU rRNA". It matches the Rfam family "Bacterial small subunit ribosomal RNA", at positions 339 to 1029 of the family's 1533-position model. The record is from RNAcentral. Lineage: Bacteria; Bacillati; Actinomycetota; Actinomycetes; Micrococcales; Microbacteriaceae.